UAGGGAAUAUUGCACAAUGGGCGCAAGCCUGAUGCAGCCAUGCCGCGUGUAUGAAGAAGGCCUUCGGGUUGUAAAGUACUUUCAGCGGGGAGGAAGGCGAUAAGGUUAAUAACCUUGUCGAUUGACGUUACCCGCAGAAGAAGCACCGGCUAACUCCGUGCCAGCAGCCGCGGUAAUACGGAGGGUGCAAGCGUUAAUCGGAAUUACUGGGCGUAAAGCGCACGCAGGCGGUCUGUCAAGUCGGAUGUGAAAUCCCCGGGCUCAACCUGGGAACUGCAUUCGAAACUGGCAGGCUAGAGUCUUGUAGAGGGGGGUAGAAUUCCAGGUGUAGCGGUGAAAUGCGUAGAGAUCUGGAGGAAUACCGGUGGCGAAGGCGGCCCCCUGGACAAAGACUGACGCUCAGGUGCGAAAGCGUGGGGAGCAAACA
This 427-nucleotide ribosomal RNA is filed under the name uncultured bacterium. RNAcentral describes it as "partial 16S ribosomal RNA". It matches the Rfam family "Bacterial small subunit ribosomal RNA", at positions 355 to 774 of the family's 1533-position model. The record is from RNAcentral.